CCUACGGGAGGCUGCCGUGGGGAAUAUUGGACAAUGGGGGCAACCCUGAUCCAGCCAUGCCGCGUGUGUGAAGAAGGCCCUCGGGUUGUAAAGCACUUUCAGUGAGGAAGAACGCCUGGUGGUUAAUACCCAUCAGGAAAGACAUCACUCACAGAAGAAGCACCGGCUAACUCCGUGCCAGCAGCCGCGGUAAUACGGAGGGUGCGAGCGUUAAUCGGAAUUACUGGGCGUAAAGCGCGCGUAGGUGGCUUGAUAAGCCGGUUGUGAAAGCCCCGGGCUCAACCUGGGAACGGCAUCCGGAACUGUCAAGCUAGAGUGCAGGAGAGGAAGGUAGAAUUCCCGGUGUAGCGGUGAAAUGCGUAGAGAUCGGGAGGAAUACCAGUGGCGAAGGCGGCCUUCUGGACUGACACUGACACUGAGGUGCGAAAGCGUGGGUAGCAAACAGGAUUAGAUACCCUGGUAGUC
RNAcentral lists this ribosomal RNA (465 nucleotides) under Vreelandella stevensii. RNAcentral's name for it is "partial 16S ribosomal RNA". It matches the Rfam family "Bacterial small subunit ribosomal RNA", at positions 338 to 795 of the family's 1533-position model. Lineage: Bacteria; Pseudomonadati; Pseudomonadota; Gammaproteobacteria; Oceanospirillales; Halomonadaceae. The record is from RNAcentral.